GACGAACGCUGGCGGCGUGGAUUAGGCAUGCAAGUCGAACGGUAUCAUCCUUUCGGGGGUGAGAGAGUGGCGAACUGGUGAGUAACACGUAGGUUAUCUACCCUCAAGACGGGGACAACCCAGGGAAACUUGGGCUAAUACCGGAUGUGAGCAACUUUUAGUUGUUUGAAAGGUGGCGUAAGCUGUCGCUUGGGGAUGAGCCUGCGUCCUAUUAGUUAGUUGGUGAGGUAACGGCUCACCUAGGCAAUGAUAGGUAGGCGGCCUUAACGGGUGGUCGCCCACACUGGGAUUGAGAUACGGCCCAGACUCCUACGGGAGGCAGCAGUCGAGAAUAGUCUACAAUGGUCGGAAGACUGAUAGUGCGACGCCGCGUGAACGAUGAAUCCCUUCGGGGUUAAAGUUCUUUUAUAUGUGAGCAGUGCUUCUUAUAUUAACAGUAUGGGGAGAGAGAUAUUAGCAUAUGAAUAAGCAACGGCUAAACUCCGUGCCAGCAGCCGCGGUAAUA
This 505-nucleotide ribosomal RNA is filed under the name uncultured bacterium. RNAcentral's name for it is "bacterial SSU rRNA". It matches the Rfam family "Bacterial small subunit ribosomal RNA", at positions 28 to 525 of the family's 1533-position model. The record is from RNAcentral.